Molecule: long non-coding RNA, 442 nt
Filed under: Hordeum vulgare
Lineage: Eukaryota; Viridiplantae; Streptophyta; Magnoliopsida; Poales; Poaceae
Description: long non-coding RNA (HVUL_LNC011243)
Source: RNAcentral
UCACAUCAAGUGCAGGGAAAGUAAAUUCUAUCACUGUAGGUCCAGAAACCAGGCAUCAUACUGAGGUUCAGAUGGAUAUAUAUUCAGAGAAGCAUCCAUCGCGUAGGAAACACAAGGUAAACCCGCACUGCGGAAAGGGAUUCUUGCCUCCACCUCGAUGACCCUCGCUCGGCGCCACCGCCACGCGCCGCCCUGAGUUGCAGACCCUGUUGCCACGCCCGCCGCCACCACCUGCCGCCUCCGCAUGGUGCGGCCCACGCCCGCCGCCACCACCUGCCGCCUCCGUGUGGUGCGGCCCACACCCGCCACCUCGUGCUGCCGCCUCUGCGUGGUGUAGGCUGCCACCGCGUGUUGCCGCCCCAUGCACGAGACUCACUCAUGGAAACCUACCUACCUACUCCUUGCCACAUAAAGUAUGCUUUGAGUUAGGACAGGCGGGCGG